UUCGCAAUGCCCGAAAGGGUGACGAAGCGACGCCGCGUGUGGGAAGAAGGCCUUCGGGUUGUAAACCACUGUCGGGAGUUAAGAAAUGCAAGAAUGUUAAUAGCGUUUUUGCUUGACUAAGGCUCCGGAGGAAGCCACGGCUAACUCUGUGCCAGCAGCCGCGGUAAUACAGAGGUGGCAAGCGUUGUUCGGAAUUAUUGGGCGUAAAGAGCACGUAGGCGGCUAUAUAAGUCGGUUGUGAAAGCCUUCCGCUCAACGGGAGAACAGCAUCCGAUACUGUGUGGCUUGAGUGUGGGAGGGGAGAGCGGAACUUCUGGUGGAGCGGUGAAAUGCGUAGAUAUCAGAAGGAACGCCGGCGGCGAAAGCGGCUCUCUGGCCCAUAACUGACGCUGAGUGUGCGAAAGCUAGGGGAGCAAACGGGAUUAGAUACCCCGGUAGUCCUAGCCGUAAACGAUGGGCACUAAGUAGAGGGGUUU
Molecule: ribosomal RNA, 476 nt
Filed under: uncultured Planctomycetales bacterium
Lineage: Bacteria; Pseudomonadati; Planctomycetota; Planctomycetia; Planctomycetales
Description: bacterial SSU rRNA
Rfam family: Bacterial small subunit ribosomal RNA
Source: RNAcentral